Long non-coding RNA from Saccostrea echinata, 843 nucleotides. RefSeq lists it as uncharacterized. The record is from RefSeq and is a predicted model, not a curated record. The transcript has 5 exons. Lineage: Eukaryota; Metazoa; Mollusca; Bivalvia; Ostreida; Ostreidae.
UUCAAGCAAUUUGAAAUUCUUCAUUUUUUAUGAUAAUAUUUUAUUUCGUAUAUAUGUUUAUAGGUUUAUUCGUAUCAACAAAUCUGUGUACGAGUUAAUAACGCAGCCUGGUUCCCUGCAUUUUCAGUGAACCACAGAGAACCAGAAUAAGAUUGUAGGGAAACAAGCCUUGUUACAAGGUUUGAGGGUCUCUGCUAGUAUCAUGUGGACCCCAGUGUAACAAAUCUAUGGAAAGAGAGAAAAUCUCAGCUCAAGGGUCAACAUGUCUUUAUUCCAAGAAAGAGUGUACAUAUGCCAGAAUCAUAUGGACCGCAGACUGGCCCUGGUGAUUCCGUUAAAAAAAAGGAGGAAAAAUCAGUGCUUGUGCUCAUUGGUCAUUGGACAAAGGGUGAAUGCCAGAAUUUUUUCAAGAACAGUCUGAAUCUGACAUGGAAAAAUGAAGAAAAACAGCCUUCCUGUUUAUAAAUCUACAUUCUGACAAAGGGUAAGAAAGAAAUUCAGGAGUUCUUAAAUUGCCCUUGGAGUUCUUGGAUUGCAUCAAACUGCUAAAAGACCUCAACAAAAACAGCGUCUUGAAAAUAAAAAUGAAAAUAUUCAGUGAAAAAAAAAUGAUGAAAGAGCCACUAAAAAUCUUCAAGCCUUUGAGCUGAAAUCUGGAAGUCAAUCUGUGGACUUUACUAGUAUGUCAUAAUUACUAAGUCAUCAUUUGUGUAUAAUAAAUACACUAAACUGUAAACACUUGUUAAAAUGUGUAUAAUUUUUAGAUAUAAUUUGUAGCUCACAGACUUCAAUAGUUUCAUGUAAUGUAAGUAAUAAUGAAAAUUUCCUGUUGUCUAGCUAGAU